UACAGAGGGUGCGAGCGUUAAUCGGAAUUACUGGGCGUAAAGCGCACGUAGGUGGCGACGUAAGUCGGGUGUGAAAGCCCCGGGCUUAACCUGGGAACUGCGCUUGAAACUACGGAACUCGAGUAUGGCAGAGGAAGGUGGAAUUCCACGUGUAGCGGUGAAAUGCGUAGAGAUGUGGAGGAACACCGAUGGCGAAGGCAGCCUCCUGGGCCAGCACUGACGCUCAUGCACGAAAGCGUGGGGAGCAAACAGG
Molecule: ribosomal RNA, 253 nt
Filed under: uncultured bacterium
Lineage: Bacteria
Description: partial 16S ribosomal RNA
Rfam family: Bacterial small subunit ribosomal RNA
Source: RNAcentral